AUACGGAGGGUGCGAGCGUUAAUCGGAAUUACUGGGCGUAAAGCGUACGUAGGCGGUUGGUUACGUUAGAUGUGAAAGCCCCGGGCUUAACCUGGGAACUGCAUUUAAAACUGGCGAACUAGAGUUGAGUAGAGGGGAGUGGAAUUUCAGGUGUAGCGGUGAAAUGCGUAGAGAUCUGAAGGAACACCAGUGGCGAAGGCGACUCCCUGGACUCGAACUGACGCUGAGGUACGAAAGCGUGGGUAGCAAACGGGAUUAGAAACCCCAGUAGUCC
Molecule: ribosomal RNA, 274 nt
Filed under: uncultured bacterium
Lineage: Bacteria
Description: partial 16S ribosomal RNA
Rfam family: Bacterial small subunit ribosomal RNA
Source: RNAcentral